ACGAACGCGUAGCGAUAGGCCUAACACAUGCAAGUCGAACGGGGGAAGCAAUUCCUCAGUGGCGGACGGGUGAGUAAUGUAUAAGAAUCUACCUAAAAGAGGGGGAUAAGAGAGGGAAACUUUUUCUAAUACCCUAUACGUUUGUUAUAAUUAAGUUUAUAACAAAGAAAGGAGCAAUCCGCUUUUAGAAGAGCUUAUAUCAGAUUAGGUAGUUGGCGGGGUAACAGCCCACCAAGCCUGUGAUCUGUAGCUGGUUUGAGAGAAUGAUCAGCCACACUGGGAUUGAGAUACGGCCCAGACUCCUAUUUUGGAGGCAGCAGUGAGGAAUAUUGGACAAUGGGGGAAACCCUGAUCCAGCCUAUCGAGUGAGUGAUGAAGGCCUUCGGGUUGUAAAGCUCUUUUAUCUGUGAAAAUAAUGAUGGUAACAGAUGAAUAAGCACCGGCUAACUUCGU
RNAcentral lists this ribosomal RNA (453 nucleotides) under uncultured bacterium. RNAcentral's name for it is "bacterial SSU rRNA". It matches the Rfam family "Bacterial small subunit ribosomal RNA", at positions 37 to 506 of the family's 1533-position model. The record is from RNAcentral.